UUUCAGGAAAGUAAUCGUUAGGGCUCGAAAUUUAUGAUGCGCUGCAAAUUUUAUCCCUCCCAAGUCUUUUCGAUCUCGUAGGGUUUAUUUCAGCAAUGAGCCAAAAUACCCUUCCCAUUGACUCAGAGUUUCAGAUCAAUGUUGCAGAAUGGAAUUGACCUUAGCACAGUUGAUGUGAGCUAUGUUAGUAGCCGCUCAUGGUAUUUCCUCAAUUUGUUUGGUUUGAUGGGUUUAUUUAAUCUGAUUCUGGGAGAGGAAAAUGCAAUGGAUGAUACACAAUGAAUGCUACAGAUGGUCUUGACAUAGUCCAACAUGAAUGGGCACUCCCUAAAUUCGAGCAUCGGGCCGAAGCAGUAUUGAAAAACCUCGUUAGCUGAACAUCGGGAGCGUAUAAACAGUUGUCAAAAGGGGGUAGUUCGAUUGAAGUUUUCAUCUUACAAGCUUUUCGAUGGAUAUAUGUGAUAGAAGUUGUCAAAAGGGGGCGUAUAAACAGCUGUCCUGUUUGUUUAAUGAUAUACCUACAGGGGGAUGUAUGAUUUCAAUUGCAAGGCUAACAAUUGAAACAAUUUUUCCAUGCUUUGAACUUGAUUGAUAGUGAUUCCUUUGCUGUUACUUUAGCUUGAUUUUUUUUAUGGAUAUAUGUAAAUGAUAAAUCAUGAUAAUUAUCAUCUUACUGCACGACCAUGAGCAUGGAAAACUAGGAGAUUGGUGGUUUAGGGAGAAAAUGAGUUUGAGUAGAUUUCUUUAUGUUAUUUUAUAUAUCUAAUUUCUGAAACUUUGGUGGUGUUUGAAUUGUUUUUUUUGUAUAGUACUAAACUUGUUGAAUUAUAAUUUAAUUUCUUUUCA
Molecule: long non-coding RNA, 846 nt
Organism: Gossypium raimondii (Peruvian cotton)
Lineage: Eukaryota; Viridiplantae; Streptophyta; Magnoliopsida; Malvales; Malvaceae
Exons: 4
Source: RefSeq, a predicted model, not a curated record